Molecule: long non-coding RNA, 303 nt
Filed under: Phoenix dactylifera (date palm)
Lineage: Eukaryota; Viridiplantae; Streptophyta; Magnoliopsida; Arecales; Arecaceae
Description: long non-coding RNA (PDAC_LNC005611)
Source: RNAcentral
CGGGUUGGGUCAGGUCCAUUACUAAAAUUUAUGACCCAACGGGUCAUUCGGGUCGAGUCCAUGUGCAAUUCGAUCCCAACCCAAAAAAAUUGGAUUCAGGUUGGUUCCGAUUUAGGUCAGAACAUUGGAAGUCAUUGCAGAAAUUACAAAGUAAAAAAAUAAACUAUAUACAAUAGAAUAAACAAAUCAUCACAGUGAAAAUAGUGUUUUUCUUUUUAGAACCCAUAACUCAGAUGUUCUGUAUGUCUUGGUUGUCUAGGCAUAGAUUAUACAAAGUUGGCAAGAAAAGUUGGCAGUUCAAAC